This 479-nucleotide ribosomal RNA is filed under the name uncultured bacterium. RNAcentral describes it as "partial 16S ribosomal RNA". It matches the Rfam family "Bacterial small subunit ribosomal RNA", at positions 28 to 507 of the family's 1533-position model. The record is from RNAcentral.
GAUGAACGCUGGCGGCGUGCUUAACACAUGCGAGUCGAACGAAGCACUUAAGAUUGAUUCUUCGGAUGACGUCUUUUGUGACUUAGUGGCGGACGGGUGAGUAACGCGUGGGUAACCUGCCUCACACAGGGGGAUAACAGUUAGAAAUGACUGCUAAUACCGCAUAACCCGAUAGGAUCGCAUGAUCCAGACGGAAAAGACUUAUCGGUGUGAGAUGGACCCGCGUCUGAUUAGCUAGUUGGUGAGGUAACGGCCCACCAAGGCGACGAUCAGUAGCCGGCCUGAGAGGGUGAACGGCCACAUUGGGACUGAGACACGGCCCAAACUCCUACGGGAGGCAGCAGUGGGGAAUAUUGCACAAUGGGGGAAACCCUGAUGCAGCGACGCCGCGUGAGUGAAGAAGUAUUUCGGUAUGUAAAGCUCUAUCAGCAGGGAAGAAAAUGACGGUACCUGACGAAGAAGCCCCGGCUAACUACGUG